GGGCGAUUAGCUCAGUGGUAGAGCGCUUCGUUCACAUCGAAGAUGUCAGAAGUUCGAAUCUUCUAUCGCCCACCA
Molecule: transfer RNA, 75 nt
Filed under: Tranquillimonas rosea
Lineage: Bacteria; Pseudomonadati; Pseudomonadota; Alphaproteobacteria; Rhodobacterales; Roseobacteraceae
Also listed under: 11 other names
Description: Roseivivax roseus tRNA_Val_CAC
Rfam family: tRNA
About the family: Transfer RNA (tRNA) molecules are approximately 80 nucleotides in length. Their secondary structure includes four short double-helical elements and three loops (D, anti-codon, and T loops).
Source: RNAcentral